Molecule: ribosomal RNA, 504 nt
Filed under: uncultured bacterium
Lineage: Bacteria
Description: partial 16S ribosomal RNA
Rfam family: Bacterial small subunit ribosomal RNA
Source: RNAcentral
AUUGAACGCUGGCGGCAGGCCUAACACAUGCAAGUCGAACGGUAGCACAGAGAGCUUGCUCUCGGGUGACGAGUGGCGGACGGGUGAGUAACGUCUGGGAAACUGCCCGAUGGAGGGGGAUAACUACUGGAAACGGUAGCUAAUACCGCAUAACGCCGCAAGACCAAAGUGGGGGACCUUCGGGCCUCACACCAUCGGAUGUGCCCAGAUGGGAUUAGCUAGUAGGUGGGGUAAUGGCUCACCUAGGAGACGAUCCCUAGCUGGUCUGAGAGGAUGACCAGCCACACUGGAACUGAGACACGGUCCAGACUCCUACGGGAGGCAGCAGUGGGGAAUAUUGUACAAUGGGCGCAAGCCUGAUGCAGCCAUGCCGCGUGUAUGAAGAAGGCCUUCGGGUUGUAAAGUACUUUCAGCGGGGAGGAAGGCGGUGAAGUUAAUAACUUCACCGAUUGACGUUACCCGCAGAAGAAGCACCGGCUAACUCCGUGCCAGCAGCCGCCGUAA